Molecule: ribosomal RNA, 498 nt
Filed under: uncultured bacterium
Lineage: Bacteria
Description: bacterial SSU rRNA
Rfam family: Bacterial small subunit ribosomal RNA
Source: RNAcentral
ACUCAAAGGAAUAGACGGGGGCCCGCACAAGCAGCGGAGCAUGUGGUUUAAUUCGAAGCAACGCGAAGAACCUUACCAGGUCUUGACAUCCAGGUAAAGCUUAAGAGAUUAGGUGUGCCUUCGGGCAAUCUGAGACAGGUGGUGCAUGGUUGUCGUCAGCUCGUGUCGUGAGAUGUUGGGUUAAGUCCCGCAACGAGCGCAACCCCUGCUGAUAGUUACUAACGAGUGAAGUUGAGGACUCUAUCGGGACCGCCGGGGACAACUCGGAGGAAGGUGGGGACGACGUCAAAUCAUCAUGCCCCUUAUGACCUGGGCUACACACGUGCUACAAUGGCCGAGACAGAGGGAAGCGAAGGAGAGAUCUGGAGCGGAUCCCAAAAAAGCGGUCACAGUUCGGAUUGUGGGCUGCAACCCGCCCACAUGAAGCCGGAGUUGCUAGUAAUCGCGAAUCAGCAUGUCGCGGUGAAUACGUUCCCGGGCCUUGUACACACCGCCCGU